AAGUCGUAACAAGGUUUCCGUAGGUGAACCUGCGGAAGGAUCAUUAUCGUGGGGCUUCGGCCCUCUCGAGAUAGAACCCUUGCCUUUUUGAGUACCUUUCGUUUCCUCGGCGGGCUCGCCCGCCAACGGGGACCACAAUAAACCCUUUGUAAUACCUGUAAUCGUCUGACAAAACAAACAAAAAUUAAAACUUUCAACAACGGAUCUCUUGGUUCUG
RNAcentral lists this unclassified non-coding RNA (217 nucleotides) under Preussia flanaganii. RNAcentral describes it as "partial internal transcribed spacer region". The stretch from base 1 to 46 matches the Rfam family "Eukaryotic small subunit ribosomal RNA", at positions 1786 to 1831 of the family's 1831-position model. Lineage: Eukaryota; Fungi; Ascomycota; Dothideomycetes; Pleosporales; Sporormiaceae. The record is from RNAcentral.